AGUCACUGACAUUAGAUACCCGUGUAGUCCCAGCCGUAAACUAUGCGCGUUAGGUGUAUCGGUGACCACGAGUCACCGAGGUGCCGAAGGGAAACCGUGAAACGUGCCGCCUGGGAAGUACGGUCGCAAGGCUGAACUUAAGGAAUUGGCGGGGGAGCACAACAACGGGUGGAGCCUGCGGUUUAAUUGGACUCAACGCCGGACAACUCACCGGGACGACAGCAAUAUGUAGGCCAGGCUGAAGACCUUGCCUGAAUCGCUG
This 262-nucleotide ribosomal RNA is filed under the name uncultured archaeon. RNAcentral describes it as "partial 16S ribosomal RNA". It matches the Rfam family "Archaeal small subunit ribosomal RNA", at positions 717 to 982 of the family's 1478-position model. The record is from RNAcentral.